RNAcentral lists this ribosomal RNA (253 nucleotides) under uncultured bacterium. RNAcentral describes it as "partial 16S ribosomal RNA". It matches the Rfam family "Bacterial small subunit ribosomal RNA", at positions 524 to 776 of the family's 1533-position model. The record is from RNAcentral.
UACGAAGGGGGCUAGCGUUGUUCGGAAUUACUGGGCGUAAAGCGCACGUAGGCGGACUAUUAAGUCAGGGGUGAAAUCCUGGAGCUCAACUCCAGAACUGCCUUUGAUACUGAUGGUCUCGAGUCCGGAAGAGGUGAGUGGAAUUCCGAGUGUAGAGGUGAAAUUCGUAGAUAUUCGGAGGAACACCAGUGGCGAAGGCGGCUCACUGGUCCGGCACUGACGCUGAGGUGCGAAAGCGUGGGGAGCAAACAGG